CUGCUCAUAGCUGAUGCGCAAGGACCGUGGGAAUUACAGACACACUAACAAUCAAAUGUUUUUGAACACGGCUAAUGCACUAGAAGUCUCGCCCAUAAGCUUACUUCCGCAUUGAAGAAUAAGGUAGAUACACAUCUCCUACCUGCUUAAGUCAUCCUCCAGUUUUUCCCGUCGCAUCCUCUCUGCAUCCAGCUGCCCCUGCAGACGUCCCUUCUCCUGCCUCA
Molecule: long non-coding RNA, 224 nt
Organism: Labeo rohita (rohu)
Lineage: Eukaryota; Metazoa; Chordata; Actinopteri; Cypriniformes; Cyprinidae
Exons: 2
Source: RefSeq, a predicted model, not a curated record